RNAcentral lists this ribosomal RNA (492 nucleotides) under uncultured bacterium. RNAcentral's name for it is "partial 16S ribosomal RNA". It matches the Rfam family "Bacterial small subunit ribosomal RNA", at positions 29 to 507 of the family's 1533-position model. The record is from RNAcentral.
AGUGAACGCUGGCGGUAGGCCUAACACAUGCAAGUCGAACGGCAGCACAGUAAGAGCUUGCUCUUACGGGUGGCGAGUGGCGGACGAGUGAGGAAUACAUCGGAAUCUACUUUUUCGUGGGGGAUAACGUAGGGAAACUUACGCUAAUACCGCAUACGACCUACGGGUGAAAGCAGGGGAUCUUCGGACCUUGCGCGAUUGAAUGAGCCGAUGUCGGAUUAGCUAGUUGGCGGGGUAAAGGCCCACCAAGGCGACGAUCCGUAGCUGGUCUGAGAGGAUGAUCAGCCACAUUGGAACUGAGACACGGUCCAGACUCCUACGGGAGGCAGCAGUGGGGAAUAUUGGACAAUGGGCGCAAGCCUGAUCCAGCCAUACCGCGUGGGUGAAGAAGGCCUUCGGGUUGUAAAGCCCUUUUGUUGGGAAAGAAAAGCAGCAGGUUAAUACCCCGCUGUUCUGACGGUACCCAAAGAAUAAGCACCGGCUAACUUCGUG